ACAACUUUCAACAACGGAUCUCUUGGUUCUGGCAUCGAUGAAGAACGCAGCGAAAUGCGAUAAGUAGUGUGAAUUGCAGAAUUCAGUGAAUCAUCGAAUCUUUGAACGCACAUUGCGCCCCUUGGUAUUCCAUGGGGCAUGCUUGUUCGAGCGUCAUUUGUACUCUCAAGCUCUGCUUGGUAUUGGGUGCUUGUCCUCUCCUUUGUAGUGGACUCACCUUAAAUUCAUUGGCAGCCAAUGUAUUGGUCUUG
RNAcentral lists this ribosomal RNA (251 nucleotides) under Dematiopleospora cirsii. Its description in RNAcentral is "5.8S ribosomal RNA". The stretch from base 3 to 156 matches the Rfam family "5.8S ribosomal RNA". Rfam says of the family: 5.8S ribosomal RNA (5.8S rRNA) is a component of the large subunit of the eukaryotic ribosome. The record is from RNAcentral. Lineage: Eukaryota; Fungi; Ascomycota; Dothideomycetes; Pleosporales; Phaeosphaeriaceae.